CGCCCAAAGAACGCCUGGAAAUCGCCAAAAGGGCGUCGCUCUGUACCAAUUGUUUAGGCAAGGGACACGCUCUCACUCAAUGCUCCGCGGGAUCAUGUCGCAUCUGUAGACAGCGACAUCACACGUAUCUGCAUCAAGACCAGGGGCAUAGCAAAACACGAACACGUGUCGACCGAACAUCGAGCGGCCGAUCGUCGAGCGACCGAUCAUCCAGCGGUCGAUCUUCGCCCAGUUCACCGUCCCCGCGUUCGUCACAUCGUUCGAGACGCUCAUCUUCGUCUCCCCGAGCGUCUCGCCAGUCGUCUCGUCGAGAUUCUCACCGAGAGUCUCCCCGAACGUCUCCGCGAACAUCCCCGAAACGCGAAUCUCGGUUACCGCGAUCGUCGGCAUCGGGAUCGACCAUAUCGUCCAGCCCUAAACGACACGGAAAACAAUGACGUCAUCAGACGAGCCUGUUAGGGACCGAACCACAGAAAACGGACUCAUCGACCCCGCUCCCUUUUGAACAAUUGCAACACGACUUGUUAGUCACAGCGCAGGUCAACAUCUUGAAUAA
This 556-nucleotide unclassified non-coding RNA is filed under the name Bombus terrestris (buff-tailed bumblebee). Its description in RNAcentral is "misc RNA ENSBTSG00005031604.1". The record is from RNAcentral. Lineage: Eukaryota; Metazoa; Arthropoda; Insecta; Hymenoptera; Apidae.